Molecule: long non-coding RNA, 1152 nt
Filed under: Pongo abelii (Sumatran orangutan)
Lineage: Eukaryota; Metazoa; Chordata; Mammalia; Primates; Hominidae
Description: lincRNA
Source: RNAcentral
CCGUAGUGCUUGGCGCGGUGACCAGAUCGGGCCGCCUUCCUGACUGCACAGAGCAAGACGCCACACUCUGGAUCCCAGGCCGGGUCCCUGUGGUUCUGCAGGGAGGUCCCGGACGCCUCCCAGAUCUUGGGCUUCUGUAACCCUGAGUCUGGGUUUUAAAAUCACAGCUCUUCCAAGUUGCACGAAGAGUCCAGGGUCGAGGGUCAAGGGUGGUCUUCGACCCGCUGGAUCGUCUUCUUGAGAAUUAGCUGAGAGCUAAGCCUAGAGCUGCCCAGGGAAGGAAGCCAAAAGGCUGGAGCCGAGCGCAAAGGGCUGGGAGACGCGGGGAGGCCCCUUACCCCCGCACCCCCUCCCCCCCUCCACUGUCCUGCCCGCUAAUAACGCUAAUAAUAGUAACAGUAUCGGCCAACUGUUUCCCCCCUGCUCCUGGUCUGCCAGGCACCGGAUCCUCCUUUAGCACUCCCAGCACUCACUGAAGAAGGCACUAUAGAAUUCUCCAUUUUCCAGACUAGAAAUAGGUAACUCGGAGAAAUUAAGAAACUCGCCCGAGGACCCUCAGGCAGUAGCACCUGGCCAGGUGCUGUUGUAGGAGCAAGGGAUACAAUGAUGAUCAAGGCAGAUGCAGCCCUCACCUUCAGGUGGUGGAGUCUGGAUACAGACAAGGAGGUAGGCAGCUGUAAGAUGUGUGAGAAAUGCUGCGCUGGGUCAGCCCAUGGUAUUAGGAGAGCAGCUGAGUGCCACAUGCUGACAUCACUAAGAUCAAUACGGCAAACUCUGAAAGAUGGACAGAGAGACAGGAGAUGGUCCUUUAUAAUGCAGUGUGAUCUGUGCUGCAAUAGAGUUUUGGAGGCUAGAAGUUCAAAACGAGGUGUUGGCAGCACCAUGCUCUCUCUGAAGAUGCUAGGAAGAAUCUGUUCCGUGCCUUUCCAUUCGCUUCUGGGGUUUCCUGCAAGCCCUGACAUUCCUCGGCUUGUAGAUGCAUCACCCCAGUUUCUGCCCCCAUCAUCACAUGGCCCCCUCUCUGGGUGUACGUCUGCGUUCCCUCUCCUCUCCUUCUAAGGACACCGACACCAAUCAUAGUAGAUUAAGGGUCCACUCCUAACCAAUUACAUCUGCAACAACGCUAUUUCCAAAUAAAGUCACAUUCUAAGA